GGCCAGGCGUGCUGGAUGGCGGUAUCUCAC
Molecule: non-coding RNA, 30 nt
Filed under: Rattus norvegicus (Norway rat)
Lineage: Eukaryota; Metazoa; Chordata; Mammalia; Rodentia; Muridae
Source: RNAcentral